Molecule: ribosomal RNA, 456 nt
Filed under: Triticum aestivum (bread wheat)
Lineage: Eukaryota; Viridiplantae; Streptophyta; Magnoliopsida; Poales; Poaceae
Description: partial small subunit ribosomal RNA
Source: RNAcentral
AUGCCCUCCGCGAGGACUGCGCCUAGCCCCUCUUCUCCGGCGCUCCUCGGCCAUCCCCGACCCUCUGCUUGGUCGCCAGGGACGUGCUGCUCCGCGCCUGCUCCAGAAAUCCAGAAAUCCAAGAAUCUAGCUCGUAGGCACUCGCAGAUGAUUAUCGACGAGAAUCAGAAGGUCCAUUCGGAGCUGGAUUGCAAGAUGCAGGAUCUUGAGCUCAAAUCCAAGAAGCUUGAUGAGCUUGCUGUGCGUAGCGAAUCUGACAGAAGGAAUCUAGAGAAGGAGAAGGAAAAGAACAUGAUCAAAGCAAAAUAUCUCAAGAUGGCAACAUUGGAGCAACAGAAGACUGACGAAAAUGUCCUGAAGCUUGUGGAAAAACACAAGCACAAGCAUGGCCAUCCACCAACAUGCAAAACAAGUUCCAGACCAAAAAUAUGUGUUUCUUGCUGUUUACUCAACUGA